This 301-nucleotide ribosomal RNA is filed under the name uncultured bacterium. RNAcentral describes it as "partial 16S ribosomal RNA". It matches the Rfam family "Bacterial small subunit ribosomal RNA", at positions 509 to 807 of the family's 1533-position model. The record is from RNAcentral.
CAGUCGCCACGGUAAUACGUAGGUGGCAAGCGUUGUCCGGAAUUAUUGGGCGUAAAGGGCUCGCAGGCGGUUUCUUAAGUCUGAUGUGAAAGCCCCCGGCUCAACCGGGGAGGGUCAUUGGAAACUGGGAAACUUGAGUGCAGAAGAGGAGAGUGGAAUUCCACGUGUAGCGGUGAAAUGCGUAGAGAUGUGGAGGAACACCAGUGGCGAAGGCGACUCUCUGGUCUGUAACUUACGCUGAGGAGCGAAAGCGUGGGGAGCGAACAGGAUUAGAUACCCCCGUAGUCCCUGUCUCUUAUAC